ACGGAGGGUGCAAGCGUUGUUCGGAUUGACUGGGCGUAAAGGGCGUGUAGGCGGUUCGUUAAGUCGGGUGUGAAAGCCCGGGGCUCAGCUCCGGAAGUGCGCCCGAAACUGGCGAGCUGGAGCGCGGUAGAGGAGGGUGGAAUUCCUGGUGUAGCGGUGAAAUGCGUAGAUAUCAGGAGGAACACCGGCGGCGAAGGCGGCCCUCUGGACCGUUGCUGACGCUGAGACGCGAAAGCGUGGGGAGCAAACAGGAUUAGAUACCCUGGUAGUCCACGCUGUAAACGAUGGGUACUAGGUGUUCGGGGUGUUGACCCCCUGAGUGCCGACGCUAACGCAUUAAGUACCCCGCCUGGGGACUACGGCCGCAAGGUUA
This 373-nucleotide ribosomal RNA is filed under the name uncultured bacterium. Its description in RNAcentral is "bacterial SSU rRNA". It matches the Rfam family "Bacterial small subunit ribosomal RNA", at positions 525 to 896 of the family's 1533-position model. The record is from RNAcentral.